GAAUUUUUCGCAAUGGGGGCAACCCUGACGAAGCAACGCCGCGUGGAUGAUGAAGUAUCUCGGUACGUCAAAUCCUUUCGACAGGGAAGAAACCGCAAGGUUGACGGUACCUGUAGAAGAAGCCCCGGCUAACCCCGUGCCAGCAGCCGCGGUAAUACGGGGGGGGCUAGCGUUGUUCGGAAUUACUGGGCGUAAAGGGCGCGUAGGCGGUCUGCUAAGUUGGAUGUGAAAACUCUGGGCUUAACCCAGAGCCUGCAUUCAAUACUGACAGGCUAGAGUUCUGGAGGGGAUAGCGGAUUUCCUGGUGUAGCGGUGAAAUGCGUAGAUAUCAGGAGGAACACCGGUGGCGAAGGCGGCUAUCUGGACAGAGUCUGACGCUGAGGCGCGAAAGCUAGGGGAGCAAACAGG
RNAcentral lists this ribosomal RNA (408 nucleotides) under uncultured bacterium. RNAcentral's name for it is "bacterial SSU rRNA". It matches the Rfam family "Bacterial small subunit ribosomal RNA", at positions 359 to 776 of the family's 1533-position model. The record is from RNAcentral.